Molecule: non-coding RNA, 174 nt
Filed under: uncultured Acetatifactor sp.
Lineage: Bacteria; Bacillati; Bacillota; Clostridia; Lachnospirales; Lachnospiraceae
Description: Lysine riboswitch
Rfam family: Lysine riboswitch aptamer
About the family: Riboswitches are metabolite binding domains within certain messenger RNAs that serve as precision sensors for their corresponding targets.
Source: RNAcentral
AUGAUAGAGGUUGCAUUCUUUAUCAGUAUUCCGCCGGAUGCGUCAGGCGCAGGGGAAGACGGGAGAAAGGAAAGAGUGCCGAAAGGGCGGGUCGCCUGUAAGAUCCGGGCCUUGGGCAUGCGGUUAAGAGCCGUAUGACUGUCAUCUGUGAAUGCAGAUGGGGCGCUAUCGGGU